RNAcentral lists this ribosomal RNA (358 nucleotides) under uncultured bacterium. RNAcentral's name for it is "bacterial SSU rRNA". It matches the Rfam family "Bacterial small subunit ribosomal RNA", at positions 28 to 376 of the family's 1533-position model. The record is from RNAcentral.
GAUGAACGCUAGCUACAGGCUUAACACAUGCAAGUCGAGGGGAAACGAUAGAGAAAGCUUGCUUUUCUAGGCGUCGACCGGCGCACGGGUGAGUAACGCGUAUCCAACCUGCCCACCACUUGGGGAUAACCUUGCGAAAGUAAGACUAAUACCCAAUGACGUCUCUAGAAGACAUCUGAAAGAGAUUAAAGAUUUAUCGGUGAUGGAUGGGGAUGCGUCUGAUUAGCUUGUUGGCGGGGUAACGGCCCACCAAGGCGACGAUCAGUAGGGGUUCUGAGAGGAAGGUCCCCCANAUUGGAACUGAGACACGGUCCAAACUCCUACGGGAGGCAGCAGUGAGGAAUAUUGGUCAAUGGAC